UCUCUGACCCAUAGUGGGUUUAUGUGAAUUAAAAGCCCACCAAACCUUAGUGGGCCGGAUCGGGUUCAACGUUUACAGCUUCAUUUCUCGUGGGCCGGGUCAGCCCAUUUAUAAGGUGGGCCAAAAUGGGCCGGACUGCAUAUACCUACACUAGGUAGCAGUGCCAGAAGAACAAACUAGAGCAUCUGCGUCUGCUGCUGCUUAUUCUCACGUAGUUCGAUUCCUCCCAGGGUGGUGGUGGUGGAGGUGCUGUCCCCUGUUCUUUUCAUUGGUGCAAAAAUGCCACAAGAUAUAACUUACCAACACCCUUUGUUUGGUGGCAAAAUAUCUUGCACGUUCCCCAACAGGUUCCAGGAUGUCAGCGACAUUCGAGAAGUCCCUGAUCAUCAGGUCUUGU
Non-coding RNA from Vigna umbellata (rice bean), 397 nucleotides. Lineage: Eukaryota; Viridiplantae; Streptophyta; Magnoliopsida; Fabales; Fabaceae. The record is from RefSeq and is a predicted model, not a curated record.